AAUCUUUACAGACAUCUCCAAAAAAAAAAUGUAUCAUCAUCCACGGGGAAAAGCUGUUUGCUGGACAUGUAGGCAUGAUUGUUUUUCUGGUCGGUCAGGAUCCCAUCAAGUUAGUGAGAGAAAUGAUGCACCUUAUUUGGAGGCGAGCAACAACAUCCAGAGGUCCAUGCACGUGCCAGGAAAUGGUGUAUUUACUCACCACUACAACCAUAUGGAGAACGGCAGUCAAACACAUUCUAUGAAAAUUAUAAAGGAUGGCAGAAUUGUUGCCAGUGAAGACAUCAGCUUUGUGUUUCCAAAUUAAAAGUCAGACAGAACAAGCUGGAAGUAAAUUAUAAGGAAAUAGAAAGAAAUCAAGUUCUAAAUGCAAAUUCAGACACCUAUUUUGUAUCUACUUUGUUUAACAUCAGUGGUAUAGAUUUAGUUAAUUAAAAUUCUACAUGUGUAGAUUGUCAGUUGGAGUUUGUGUGUACAUUUAUUUC
Carassius carassius (crucian carp) is the source of this 482-nucleotide long non-coding RNA. RefSeq lists it as uncharacterized. The transcript has 3 exons. The record is from RefSeq and is a predicted model, not a curated record. Lineage: Eukaryota; Metazoa; Chordata; Actinopteri; Cypriniformes; Cyprinidae.